AAUUGGUUCCCAGGUCAUUUUGUUUCGAAGCUCCACCAGAGAGGUUGCUAAAAUUUGAAUUUUCGUCUUCAAGAUCCGGCCGCUGCAUCAACAAGGUAACUGGAGUGCUAUAUGGUGCACAAGUGUUAUGAACCAAUUGAAGCAGAUUCAUGCCUACAGCCUCAGAAACGGCGUAGAUUAUACCAAAUUCCUCAUCGAAAAACUCCUGCAGAUCCCAAAUCUACCGUAUGCUUGCACCCUCUUCGACCUUAUUCCUAAACCUUCUGUUUUUCUUUACAACAAGUUCAUUCAAACAUUUUCUUCCAUUGGUCACCCCCACCGAUGCUGGUUGCUUUAUUAUCAAAUGUGCCUCCAAGGUUGCUCGCCCAAUCACCAUUCAUUCACCUUUCUCUUUCCCGCAUGCGCUUCCUUUUUAAAUGCUUACCCAGGUCAGAUGCUUCAUUCCCAUUUCUGUAAGUCCGGAUUUGCCUCCGAUGUAUUUGCUUUGACGGCGUUGUUGGACAUGUAUGGGAAAUUGGGAAUUUUGAAGUCCGCACGCCAACUGUUUGAUGAAAUGCCUGUUCGAGAUAUACCCACUUGGAAUUCGAUGAUUGCAGGAUAUGCGAGGUCCGGGUACAUGGGGGCAGCAUUGGAAUUGUUCGACAAAAUGCCUAUCAGAAAUGUGAUCUCUUGGACAGCCUUGAUAUCUGGAUAUGCGCAGAAUGGCAAGUAUGCGAAGGCCUUGGAGAUGUUUCUGAGGUUGGAAAACGAGAAAGGCACUAAACCGAAUGAGGUGACCAUAGCCAGUGUUCUUCCUGCCUGUGCCCAGCUUGGGGCGUUGGAUAUUGGGAAGAGGAUUGAAGUCUACGCUCGGAAGAAUGGGUUUUUCAAAAACUUGUAUGUGAGCAAUGCGAUACUGGAAGUGCAUGCUAGGUGCGGUAACAUUGAGGAAGCUAGGCGAGUUUUUGAUGAGAUUGGAAGCAAAAGAAAUUUGUGCUCAUGGAAUACCAUGAUAAUGGGAUUGGCUGUUCAUGGAAGAUGCCCUGAUGCUCUUCAGCUUUAUGAUCAAAUGUUGAUACAAAGAACAAGACCCGAUGACGUGACAUUUGUAGGGCUGCUCUUGGCUUGCACUCACGGGGGCAUGGUUGCGAAAGGUCGUCAAAUCUUUGAAUCAAUGGAGAUAAAGUUUCAAAUUGCUCCCAAAUUAGAGCACUAUGGGUGCUUGGUCGACCUAUUGGGCAGGGCGGGAGAGAUAGAAGAAGCUUACAGCCUCAUUCAGAGCAUGCCAAUGUUUCCUGAUUCUGUUAUAUGGGGAGCUCUUCUGGGAGCUUGCAGCUUCCACGGCAAUGUUGAACUGGGUGAAGUAGCAGCUGAGUCCUUAUUCAAGCUAGAGCCAUGGAACCCUGGAAACUAUGUCAUUCUCUCAAACAUUUACGCAUCGGCCGGGGAUUGGUCCGGAGUUGCGAGGGUGAGGAAGAUGAUGAAGGGAGGACAUAUUAGGAAGAGAGCAGGAUGUAGUUAUAUUGAAGUGGGAGAUGGGAUUCAUGAGUUCAUUGUGGAAGAUAGAUCACAUCCGAAGAGUGAUGAAAUAUAUGCUUUGCUUCAUGCCAUUUAUGCCAUUAUAAAACUUCAUAGCCAAAACGAAGGGCUCGCUUUCGCUAUUUAAAAUGAACAGAAUUGGAUCAUCAAGGCUUCGUAAGAAACGACUCGGGCUUUCUCUUCCUCUCUCCUAGGGUUUUUCUCUUCCGUUCGAAUCCGAGAAUCCACAAGCGCGAUUAACAGUAGCAACGAUGAGGCCGAUAUUUGUUGGGAACUUCGGGUAUGACACCCGGCAAUCUGAACUGGAGCGGUUAUUCGCCAAAUAUGGGAGAGUUGAAAGGAUCGACAUGAAGUCUGGUAUAUAGCAAUUUCUCUGUACUAGUUUGCAUGCCAUUUUUAACGAAGAUAUUAUAAAUUUGGUCAUGACUCGUGUAGAUUUUAUUGUAUGAAGGAUCCAUUUUUGUGGUCAGCUUCGAACGAUUGCUUAUGUUGAA
Cucurbita maxima (winter squash) is the source of this 2012-nucleotide RNA transcript. It is a transcript of the gene named pentatricopeptide repeat-containing protein At5g08510, with no coding region annotated. The record is from RefSeq and is a predicted model, not a curated record. Lineage: Eukaryota; Viridiplantae; Streptophyta; Magnoliopsida; Cucurbitales; Cucurbitaceae. The transcript is spliced from 4 exons.